Molecule: ribosomal RNA, 370 nt
Filed under: uncultured bacterium
Lineage: Bacteria
Description: bacterial SSU rRNA
Rfam family: Bacterial small subunit ribosomal RNA
Source: RNAcentral
AUUGAACGCUGGCGGCAUGCCUUACACAUGCAAGUCGAACGGCAGCACGGGGCAACCUGGUGGCGAGUGGCGAACGGGUGAGUAAUGCAUCGGAACGUGCCAUUGAGUGGGGGAUAACGUAGCGAAAGUUGCGCUAAUACCGCAUAUUCUGUGAGCAGGAAAGCAGGGGACCGCAAGGCCUUGCGCUCUUUGAGCGGCCGAUGUCAGAUUAGCUAGUUGGUGAGGUAACGGCUUACCAAGGCGACGAUCUGUAGCGGGUCUGAGAGGAUGAUCCGCCACACUGGAACUGAGACACGGUCCAGACUCCUACGGAGGCAGCAGUGGGAAUUUUGGACAAUGGCGUCAAGCCUGAUCCAGCCAUGCCGCGUGA